Long non-coding RNA from Bombus terrestris (buff-tailed bumblebee), 448 nucleotides. RefSeq lists it as uncharacterized. NCBI's taxonomy places the organism in Eukaryota, Metazoa, Arthropoda, Insecta, Hymenoptera, Apidae. The record is from RefSeq and is a predicted model, not a curated record. The transcript has 2 exons.
AAUACCAAACGAAAUUCUGUUAUUAUUCUUAGAUAUAGAAUACCUCCUCCUACACAUGUACGCAAGCAACCGGGAAACAUAGGGCAGAGUUAUGCGUAUCUCUGUAUUUUCAAGGUACGCUACUUGCUUUCAAACAUCUCGAUCGUAUACUCGGAUGGAAGCUCUGUAUUUUCUGUUUACACUGUUCAAAGCUUACACGUAUCUUUUAAAAAGUUCAGCGAAUAAUUUAUCCGUAAUGGAAUUUUGUAAUCGAUUAAUUUCAGCCAUUCGGAAAAUUAUAUAAGAUACGAUGUAUUUACGAGAGUUUUGAAUAAUAAUUUAUUUGUAAGGCUGUAAUACUGUUUUAACGCCUGUUACAUUUUCGUACGUAUUUUAAUCCUAGGUCAGUGCAAUUUACAUGGACCCGUCGCUCGAAUCCAACAUGAUUCUAGUGAUCGUACGAAUGAUU